GAUGAACGCUGGCGGCGUGCCUAACACAUGCAAGUCGAGCGGAUGGACGGUGCUUUUGCUUGGCUGAAGCGAGGGGCGGGCGAGUGAGUCACAGGAGUAUACCUGACAUAUAAGUCUGAGAUCACGACGCGAACGCGUAUACAACACAGGAGAAGAUUUUGAACCGCGGGGUUCUUAGGAGAACGCCGGCUUUGAUGUCACUAAUUGAGGGUUCCGCGCUGGUUUGGCUAGUUGGUAGGCUAACGGCUUUCCAAGGCUAGUAUGCGUAGCCGACCUGAGAGGGUGAUCGGCCACACUGGAACUGAGACACGGUCCAGACUCCUACGGGAGGCAGCAGUAGGGAAUAUUGGGCAAUGGGCGAAAGCCUGACGGAGCAACGCCGCGUGUGUGAUGAAGGUCUUCGGAUCGUAAAGCUCCUUUAGUGGGGAAGAACAGCUGUAUAAGUAAACGUUGCUGUUUUGACGGUACCUAAUCAAAAAGCCACGGCUAACUACGUG
Molecule: ribosomal RNA, 497 nt
Filed under: uncultured bacterium
Lineage: Bacteria
Description: partial 16S ribosomal RNA
Rfam family: Bacterial small subunit ribosomal RNA
Source: RNAcentral